This 116-nucleotide ribosomal RNA is filed under the name Escherichia coli. Lineage: Bacteria; Pseudomonadati; Pseudomonadota; Gammaproteobacteria; Enterobacterales; Enterobacteriaceae. The record is from RNAcentral.
CCUGGCGGCCUUAGCGCGGUGGUCCCACCUAACCCCAUGCCGAACUCAGAAGUGAAACGCCGUAGCGCCGAUGGUAGUGUGGGGUCUCCCCAUGCGAGAGUAGGGAACUGCCAGGC